ACAUCAAAAUUCAGCCACUGCAUCAGGAG
This 29-nucleotide non-coding RNA is filed under the name Homo sapiens (human). Lineage: Eukaryota; Metazoa; Chordata; Mammalia; Primates; Hominidae. The record is from RNAcentral.